Molecule: ribosomal RNA, 667 nt
Filed under: uncultured cyanobacterium
Lineage: Bacteria; Bacillati; Cyanobacteriota
Description: bacterial SSU rRNA
Rfam family: Bacterial small subunit ribosomal RNA
Source: RNAcentral
CGGACGGGUGAGUAACGCGUGAGAAUCUACCUUUUUCAGGAUGGGGACAACCGUUGGAAACGACGGCUAAUCCCCAAUAAGCCGCAAGGUGAAACGGGAUUCCGCCUGGAGAGGAGCUCGCGUCCGAUUAGUUAGUUGGUGAGGUAAGAGCUUACCAAGGCAGCGAUCGGUAGCUGGUCUGAGAGGAUGAGCAGCCACACUGGGACUGAGACACGGCCCAGACUCCUACGGGAGGCAGCAGUGGGGAAUUUUCCGCAAUGGGCGCAAGCCUGACGGAGCAACGCCGCGUGUGGGAAGAAGGCUCUUGGGCUGUCAACCACUUUUCUCAGGGAAGAAGCCCUGACGGUACCUGAGGAAUCAGCCUCGGCUAACUCCGUGCCAGCAGCCGCGGUAAUACGGAGGAGGCAAGCGUUAUCCGGAAUUAUUGGGCGUAAAGCGUCCGCAGGGGGCACAUCAAGUCUGCUGUUAAAGGCUGGAGCUUAACUCCGGUAGAGCAGUGGAAACUGGUGUGCUAGAGGGCGACAGGGGUAGAGGGAAUUCCCAGUGUAGCGGUGAAAUGCGUAGAGAUUGGGAAGAACACCGGUGGCGAAAGCGCUCUACUGGGUCGCACCUGACCCUCAGGGAACGAAAGCUAAGGUAGCGAAAGGGAUUAGAUACCCCUGUAGUC